UGAUAAUUACAGAAUCAAGAGUGAUUCUUCAUAUAUACGUAUUUCAUAAUAAAUUUAUCAAUAACAGUGUCGAGCAUUUCAAUUGUCACAACAUAAUUAUGUACCUAAUCACAUGUAAGGUAGCAUUUGGAUGCCUCCUUUUGAGUCUCUGUGAUUACUUCUCUUUUUCAUAAUAAACCCCAGACAAAAAGUGGGGGAACCAGGAAACCUUCAAAUUCCUAUCUGGACAAAUUGGAAAGCCUGUUCCCAAAUAUAAAGAAAACUGUAAAAUGAUUGACGUGAAGACACAGCUGAUGUAAAAAGAAGAAUGCUAUAGGAACUGAUCAUUUUCAUUUUUGAAAAGGAUUGCAGCAUAAAUAAACACAACAAACUCCAAAAAUUGGAGAGUAGACAGAGAUUUACCUAAGGGAACUCCAGACUUUGGUGGUUAUUUAAAAGAAAGGCAGAAGGAUAUGUGGAGUUUUGCUGAACAUUUUGAGGGUUGGCCAUAGCUUAUUAAGACAAAAGGGAUGGCCGUAAGAUUAUAUGAACACAAUUAUCAGACCUAACGUGUUCUAGACCUGAAUCAUGGUACCAUUGUGGCUGAGAAAUGAAGCCUCCUAUUUGAGGGAUUGAAAAAGGAAGGGCAAAAAAAAUAUAUAUGUUUUCAUGAAUUUGAUCAAAAAGUUGUUCGAUAUUUUGCCUAUAUUGAGGUAUGGGCCUCUGUGCUGCUGCUGCUCCCAGUUGAAGUGCCUGAGCUCUGGCUAGACUGUUGCACACCAGAAAGAGGAGCAGGCCCACUCUUUGAAAAGGUUGAACCCACCAAUCCGCUAGAUGUGCUUGAUGAUGAAGACAUCCUGGUUGAACUGGAGUCCUUGCUUGACCCUGAAAUAAGUUCAGGUCGCAGUUCCGAAGAUGACGAUGAUGGGGCUAGAGUACCAAUUGAAGAGCCCACAGGGUAAGGUGCAACAGGCAUAUCAGCAAGAGAAGAUGCAGAUGGACUGUAACUCAAUGUUCCCAUCGGAUGAUCAAAUUUGCAUGCAGGUCCAAACUUGCACUGUCCCCAUUGCGUAUAGUGAGCACAAAUCGGUGCACCCUGACAAGCAUAAAGGAAUAUCAGAUGCAUCACAACAUAGGAGACGACUUGAGCUACAACAAACUAUGCACACAGAUACACUCGUAUAAAAUAAAGCACUAUGAUAAGGCACUUGCAUAUGUGUUAACUUAUGGUUACAACAGUAAAAUAUUGAAAACCAACAUAAACAGGAGGGAAAUGCACAACAAACAAAAGAAGGAAAAGCAGAUGACUGAGCUAAUAUCAAUACAAAUUAAGGGAAAAAGUCUGAACAUAACACUGAAAGGAGUAGUUUCAUAUGCAGUUCAAAUGCUUCCAGAGUUAGUGGCAGAAUUCUCACAUGUAGUAAAUAAAUUGACUGAUGAAUUGAUCUACUCUAGAGACAAAGCAUAGAUGCAUGACAUUAUGCUUCUCCAUUUAAUUUGGCUGAACACAUAUUCAUUUGCAACAUGGAAUAUUUCCUGUAGAUGCACGACACAAUAUUUGAAAAUGAUCUCACAUUAACAACAGCGGAUCUUUAAACAUGUAGAAGGCACCAUAAGAUCACUCAUUCUAAUCUGCUUGGGCUCAUCAUACACAUAACUGGAUGGCUUAUGAAAAAAUCUGUUUGAAAAUGAGAAAAUCACGGAAGAACCACAAAAAGUAACAUGAUGAACAAAGAAUAAAUAAUGACCAUUCCAAGAAUCCAAAUUGACAAGUCAAAUGCACCUACAGCAACCCCUGCCAGCACCAGACGUGAUGACAUUGAUAACUUUGAAACAAUUGAUGAUACAACAAAUUCAAGAUCUCAACAAUAUGUGAACCCUAACUAGCUUAAUUAGCAAUAAAUAUACAUUAUAGGGCAAAAGAAGCACCACUCACCAAAAAGAAACCCUCAAUUUAACAUUCCUCAAAAUUGACUUCCAGAACCUAAUAAAUUUAUGCUAAAGAAUGCACACUGAUCAUGGUUAGUAUGGCCUUAUAGGAGGGAGAUAGUGACAAGAAAGAUCAAUUUCCUGAGAAAUCUAACACCGGUUAAGAGAAGCACCAAAAUUUCCUAAGAAUCUUACCCACCUCCAAACUCCCAGUGAUACAUCGAAAUUUACCAAGAGAAGGAACAGGAAAAAUGGCUCAUUAUAAGUAUUUCACCUUGUGAAUUCCAGUACUAAAAGUACUGACAAAUAUAGCAGACAAAAGAAAGUCUCCCAACCAAAAAAUCUUCCACACAUGGAUCCCUUACACCAGCAAAACAUACUCCCAAAACCUUUUCUUCAGCUGAUGAUAUAUUAAAGCAUUAGCCACAAGCAUAACCAUACAAAUUCUUCCUGUAAACAGAUACUGAACAGUUAUAAGCCACCUAUUAUUCACUCAAUAAUAGAAAAAAGCUGCACCUUGCAGUAUAUCAAUAAAUGUGAAGGUGAUCAGAGCAUGGAAAGGAAUGACACUGAAUAGUUUCUUCCAAAUGAAGUCAACAUAUGCAAGGUAAGACUGAGAAAAUAUGGUAUAAGAAGAAUGGGAAAAAUAAAGGCUCGAAGUUCCAUGAUGCAUUGAACAAAUCUUUUUCAACAGAAAACAAUAAUCCAACUUUGAUCAAUGAAAGUAGCAUAAUGUCCUUAUUCAUCUUUGCCACGUCACAUAUUCACAGUACUACCAUUAGAUUAUUGCCAGAAAGGCUCCCAUAAAAGUAAACCAAUUAAAAUUUAGCAACCAGAAUCACACAGCUCCUCUCACAGCAAGGAUAAAGGAUGGUGGGGAAAGAAAAGAAAGGAGAUCAUUUUUCUUGUUCCUCUCUGUAAAGAAGAAAGAAUAGAAAACCUUCCACUCUUAUGGAAGAAUACUGCUAAAGUUCUGAAGACUGAAUAUUGCAAUUUACAUUUUGCAACAAAUAAAGAUUUGGAAGCAAGUUUAUCCCACUGUAACUCUGAGGUUAAAAAGCAUAACAGGUCAAGGAUAAUUAACAGCCUAUUAUCAAUAUUGUAUCAUCUUAUAACUUGCAAGCUGGGAGAAUAUCAGACAGGAACUAGCAAAGUUCUCAUUCACCAAAAAAUGGUGUUUUUCAAAAUAAUAAAUUAACAAGGUAUUCAAUAAACAGAAGAAGUGACCAAGAUUUGAAAUUUCAAAUAUUAAAAAACAGCAAGUUAAGACCAAAGCCAGCUGCAGCAGAGAUAGAAAAUUGAAAUGUGUAAAAAUGCCAAGAAUGACAGGAUUCACAAGCAGGCACAACUUGAAUGCCAUCAUUUACGGUCUCUUAUAUUUUCAAAAGCACGAUACAUACUAUCUAAUGCUAAAUAUAUUAAUAAAAGUUAUCAUGCCAAAACAAACAUUUAACACCAGCAUCAUGAAAACAAUGAUCAGAUUGCAAAGAUCAAAAGCACAAUGUUAAGUAUCAUUAUGAAAAAUGAAGAAAGUCAAAAACUAAAUUAUGUUGUGUAAUCACAAAACUCAUAAACCACAAAAGGCAGUAAAGGCUACAGGUCAUAUAUUAUAAUCAAGCACUGGAGCAUUUCUCUACUUAACAUUAAUUGAAAGAGGAACAAUUGAUUGUUGGAGUACAAGACAAUAACACUCUCUUAUCUUAUUAAGUUAAAGAUUGCUAAGUAAAGAAUCAAGGAAGCAGUAUUCUCUUCUUAUUUUCAACAAUAGACGCAUAAAUGAAAAACACCUUACGCUAAAUCUUUGGAAUAUUCUAUAAAGGCACGAUGGAUACAAUUUGCAGAAAAUGUUGACACUGGAUUUAGUAAUGAACUUUCAAUGUCAAAAUCCAAUUCCAGCAUUGAGCAGAGAAUUGCAAGGCAAAAGAAGGAGAAGAAGAACCAUUCAAGAAAUACAUUUUGAGUUAAAGAUGCCAAAAUAACAGUGCAAGAUGACAAAACAACAUUCCAGAAAAGCACUACAUUAAAGGCAAGUAAUACAUGAUCACUGCCUCUGCUAAGCUUUCGACCAUCAUAUAACAAGUAAGAGUGUGAGUUGGGGUGCAUGUCACUUUUGUAUCAAUAGGUUCAGGGUUGUGUGCAUGUACAUCAAUAUUCUAACAGGGAAAUGGGGAAAACUACAAAAGGAGACUUUAGAACACAUUCGGAAAAAUUUAUCAGGAGAAAACAAAGAAGAUAGGGGGGCUAGAAGAGAGGAUGGGAAGAAGAGAACAAUUAUGUAACUCCAAGACAUGUUUCACAUCCCUGGAAACAAAACCACAAGUAGAUAUGCACAUACUUUGUACAUAUGCUUCAAAUACCAAAUUAACGCCUCUCAUACUGCUAUCUAAUAAACAAUAUAUACAAGAAGCCUGAUUUAUUUUGCAACUUCAGUAUAUAGAACUAAUAAUUCAUAUCCUGAAUAAAGAUAAAACAUGAAGGAAUUCUUACCGGACGCAAAGGAAGGCGAAUAGGGCUAAGAACAACAGUGGUUUUUGGUGCAAUCAAUUCUGGAGGAUGAUGAUAUCUACAGGAUGAUCCAAAUUUACAAUCGCCAGUUUUCAUGUAAUACUGGCAUUCUGGUUGGCCAGGUCUUUCUGGAAAUGAGUGUUCCUUCUGGCUGCUGCUGGAUGGACCAAUUGAAGUAGGCAUGGGUUGAUAGGCACCUGUAUAAGCAGGUGCUGAAGGAGAUAACUGUGUUAUCCCAUACACGGAGCCUGAUCCAACUCCCGGCUGAGUGCUGGGAGAUGCAACUGGGCUUACAGGUGCCGGGUAUGGACUCCAACUCGGAUAGGAAACUAAACCUGGGGAAAGCAGCAUUGGACCAUAAGGACCUUGCACAUAAGAGCCUGGCAGAAGAGGAGGCCUUGCAACUACUAAUCCAUACUGUUGAGUAGAAGGAACAGAUGGAGACUGCACUGUGGGAUAUAAUGCGGAAGCUGUUACUGAAGCAGGCAUGGGUGUAACUUGCGGAGCCAGUGACUGUGCUGGGAUUUGUAGGCUAGCUGGCUGCGGGUGAUGGAAUUUACAAGUUGCACCAAAUUUACACUGCCCUGUUUUUACAUAGUAUGUACACUCUUUUUCACCCGGACGUAUCGGGUACCCUGAAUAAUUUAGUGACACAGGGCUAACAGAAACACCUCCCUGUUUAGGAUGAUGGUACUUGCAGGAAGCACCAAAUUUGCAUGUCCCUGUCCGCAUGUAAUACUGGCACACAGGCUGGCCCACUCGCUCAGGAAACUCCCCAGCACCAGCUCUUGCAGGCCCUAUUACCUACACAAUAUUACGAAACAAUUUAUUAUGACAGAUCAUAUUACAACAACACCGUAGACUGACCAGACUCUUUCAGAAUUUACUCAUUUCAUAACAAACCCACAUAUCAAAACACAGUUACUCAAAUUAAGCAAACAAUCUUCCAAUCUCAAUUAAAAAACCUCAAGAUCAAACUCAAUCGAUCCCAAUAAAACAUUCAAUGAUCACUUUGAAAGAACCAAUCAUAAAGCUCUAAUCCAAACUCAAUUCAAGACAAACCAAAAGGAAACAGCUAGAAUUACCGCGCCUCGGUCACGCGGGUGAUUGAACCGACACCUAGCCCCGUACCCGCAAAAUCCGGUCCUCAAGUAAUAGAUACAAUCAGCCUCGUCGGGUCUCUCCGGGUACCCGGAUUCCCCUUCCCCUAAUCCCAGCCGCCAAACACCCUCUUCAAGCUCAGUUUCAGGUCCCGGAGCCGUCCAUUCCUUUGACGGAUCGGACUGCGAGCCCUCCUGUGUCCAACCGUACCGGUCCAUCCGAAAUUCGCGGAACCGGACGGAAGCGGAGGAAAUUGUACCGGCUUUCGGACAGUUAACAGAAUGAGGCUCCGAUCAAAUGGGGUGCGCCUCGUGUCUGCGCUCGUAUUAAGAGAGAGAAAGAGAGCUAGUGUUAGAAACUGAAGAACGAGUUUUCUUCGUUUGGAUUUUGCUUUGGGGAUUUUUUUUCUUUUUUUUUUAUUUGUUUUAUUUUCCUUCUUUCACUCUCACACACAGACUCGCUCAGUGCUUGGUUUUAUGGUUUUGGUUUUCUCUCUCUCUCUCUACCAGCUUUCAAAGCGAAGGCUUUUGAUCUUUCUUCCUUCUAUGUGUUUUGGUGGUUU
This 6076-nucleotide unclassified non-coding RNA is filed under the name Hevea brasiliensis (rubber tree). The record is from RNAcentral. Lineage: Eukaryota; Viridiplantae; Streptophyta; Magnoliopsida; Malpighiales; Euphorbiaceae.